RNAcentral lists this ribosomal RNA (443 nucleotides) under uncultured bacterium. RNAcentral describes it as "partial 16S ribosomal RNA". It matches the Rfam family "Bacterial small subunit ribosomal RNA", at positions 338 to 795 of the family's 1533-position model. The record is from RNAcentral.
CCUACGGGUGGCAGCAGUGGGGAAUAUUGCACAAUGGGCGCAAGCCUGACCCAGCCACGCCGCGUGAAUGAAGAAGGCCCUCGGGUUGUAAACUUCUUUUAUUCGGGACGAAGCAAAUGACGGUACCGAAUGAAGAAACCACGGCUACCUGCGUGCCAGCAGCCGCGGUAAUACGUAGGUGGCAAGCGUUAUCCGGGUUUACUGGGUGUAAAGCGCGGGUAGGCGGGGGAGAAAGUCAGAGGUGAAAUUCCCGGGCUCAACCCUGGAACUGCGUCUGAUACUGUUCUGCUUGAGUGCUGGAGAGGCAGGUGGAAUUCCGGGUGUAGCGGUGAAAUGCGUAGAGAUCCGGAGGAAUACCAGUGGCGAAGGCGGCCCCCUGGACAUUAACUGACGCUGAGGUGCGAAAGCGUGGGGAGCAAACAGGAUUAGAUACCCCUGUAGUC